UCAUGGAUGGAGCCGAGCAGCCACCAUGCCACCCCAAGGUUGACCGUGCCGGCCACAAUUGUGCCAAUAAACUGAGUAAAAACAGUACCCUCAAGGUUAGUAAAAUAUGUCGUCUUGCAUGCUAACAUGGUUGUCAACAAAUCCUUAUGAGUGAGUUGGGACUUCUGUUUAUACCUGAACUAGGAACAUGGAUUUUGGGGGAAUCUUCAUAUAGUGGCCAAGUUUGAAGUCUGAGAGGAAGGCAAUAGCCUGAGACAUGCUCAUGUAGCCAUACACCUUGAAACAGACGUUGGCGAUGGGAUGACCAGGGAUUAUCAACCCAAUGGCAUACUCCGUGAUGACGUUCAGACCAGGUGUCUGUAGAUGACAUUUUAAAUCAUUUUCAGAUUUUGUUACUUAAGCUAUUAAAAUGCAGUAGAGUGCACUGACAGUUCUGUUCUAGUGAAAUGCCUCAAAUUCUAACAUAGCUUGCCUGGUUGGUUGUCGCAGAGAUGAUGCUGAUGGGUAGGGUGAAGAUGAAGGCCAUGCCACAGGCAAAUAGUAGACCCCACCAUGGAAGCUGGACCUCAUGCUUCAGGACAGUGCAGAGGAUAAGUGCCACUGUCAUCGAAAGCGCCAUCAGUGAGUAGAACCACCACACUGGUAUGUCAUCGUACUUCUUCAUCAGCCUAGUGUGGAUAUCAGGCUUCUCCUUCUGCGAAGCUCGAAAACGGUGAUAGAUUUCCCUGCACAUUUGUUUGUCCGGUUCAGAUACAGAAGAUGUACCGUGUGAUUGUUUCAUGUAUUUAUGUACUGAUCAGAGAAUAUCUUACUUUCCAUAGAAGAGGCCGACGUGGGUGACAGUGGAGGCAAUGGUGGCAAAACUUAGACCAUAAGCGAGCGCGAAGAACACACUGAGGUUGAUCCUGCCAAGCUUAUUGUAAGCAUCGAUAUCAAGCUCAAACUUGUCGUUCACGAUGGCUGUGAUAUCGUAGCUCGUGCCAUUGGACAUGAAUAGGUGCGAGGAGAAGAUGGGGAAUGUCUUGGCAUUGUACAGGUCGAAACCCCAGUAUGCUAUGGGAACGAGCACAUAGAGGAAGAGCACGAAGCCGACGAA
Molecule: long non-coding RNA, 1096 nt
Filed under: Oryza sativa (Asian cultivated rice)
Lineage: Eukaryota; Viridiplantae; Streptophyta; Magnoliopsida; Poales; Poaceae
Description: long non-coding RNA (OSAT_LNC000435)
Source: RNAcentral